Molecule: long non-coding RNA, 479 nt
Organism: Meriones unguiculatus (Mongolian gerbil)
Lineage: Eukaryota; Metazoa; Chordata; Mammalia; Rodentia; Muridae
Exons: 3
Source: RefSeq, a predicted model, not a curated record
UAGAGAUAGGCAGCAUCAAUCUGGGGCAAGCCAAUUUUGUGAUUUGUCAUCCUCAAAAGGGAAGAGGUUUCAACUUGAAAACGAAAAGCCAUAGAGGAGGCACAGAGCUUCCGAGCGGAGGCAACUUCCUUUCCAACUUCUCCUUGCUGGAGAUCCGGCUUGUUUGCCACCCUGUUGAAUUUCUCUGGAAAUACAGACGUGCUCAGAGGAGUAUCCCCCAGGCAAUACCAAAUCCAGUCAAGAUGAACCAUCAUGGGUACAAACCUAAGAAGCAGAGGUGGACUCAAAAUGAAACCUGAGAGACAAGAUGCAGUGGCUGCUGUUGUUUGGCUGCGAGUGUAUUUAGUCAUUUGCUGCUUGCCACAGUCCUUGGACCCUCUAUUGUGUGGAGGUUUCUUCAUUCUCAUUUACUUUAUGUGUCACUUGAUAUGGCUUCUGCUGACCAGCCUUCAAGUUCAUCUUUCUCCAGUGAAGACAUG